This 1481-nucleotide ribosomal RNA is filed under the name uncultured Bordetella sp. RNAcentral's name for it is "partial 16S-23S ribosomal RNA intergenic spacer". It matches the Rfam family "Bacterial small subunit ribosomal RNA". Lineage: Bacteria; Pseudomonadati; Pseudomonadota; Betaproteobacteria; Burkholderiales; Alcaligenaceae. The record is from RNAcentral.
UUCGAUUAUGGCUCAGAUUGAACGCUGGUGGGAUGCUUUACACAUGCAAGUCGAACGGCAGCACGGACUUCGGUCUGGUGGCGAGUGGCGAACGGGUGAGUAAUGUAUCGGAACGUGCCUAGUAGCAAAGGGGAUAACUACGCGAAAGCGUAGCUAACCACAUACGCCCUUCGAGGAAAGCGGGGGACCUUCGGGCCUCGCACUAUUAGAGCGGCCGAUAUCGGAUUAGCUAGUUGGUCGGGGUAACGGCUCGCAAGGCGACGAUCCGUAAGCUGGUUUGAGAGGACGGCCAGCCACACUGGGACUGAGACGGCCCAGACUCCCUGCAGGAGGCAACAGUGGGGGAAUUUUGGACAAUGGGAAACCCUGAUCCAGCCAUCGCGGUGAUACGAUGAAGGCCUUCGGGUUAUGCAAGCACUUUUGGCAAGGAAAGAAACAGCUUUGCCAGGAUAAUGCACCCGUGCAACUGACAGUACCUGCAGAGGCAGCACCGGCUAACACGUGCCAGCAGCCGCGGUAAUACGUAGGGUGCAAGCGUUAAUCCGGAAUUACUGGGCGUAAAGCGUGCGCAGGCGGUUUGGAAAGAAAGAUGUGAAAUCCCAGAGCUUAACUUUGGAACUGCAUUUUUAACUACCGAGCUAGAGUGUGUCAGAGGAAGUGGAAUUCCGCGUGUAGCAGUGAAAUGCUGUCAUGCAGGAAACACCGAUGGCGAAGGCAGCCUCCUGGGAUAACACUGACGCUCAUGCACAGCGUAGGGAGCCGACAGGUUGCAGAGUACCUGGUAGUCCGCCCUAAACGAUGUCAACUAGCUGUUGGGGCCUUCAGGCCUUGGUAGCGCAGCUAACGCGUGAAGUUGACCGCCUGGGAAGGCGCAGACGCAAGAUUAAAACUCAAAGGAAUUGACGGGGACCCGCACAAGCAGUGGAUGAUGUCAACGGAUAAUUCUGAUGCAACGCAAAAACCUUACCUACCCUUGACAUGUCUGGAAUCCCCGAAGGGUGGGGGUGCUCGCAAGAGAACCGGAACACAGGUGCUGCAUGGCUGUCGUCAGCUCGAUGUCAUUGAGGAUGUUGGGAUUCAGAGUCCACACCAACAGCGCAGCCCUUGUCAUUAGUUGCUACGAAGGGCACUCUAAUGAGACUGCCGGUGACAAACCGGAGGAAGGUGGGGAUGACGUCAAGUCCUCAUGGCCCUUAUGGGUAGGGCUUCACACGUCAUACAAUGGUCGGGACAGAGGGUCGCCAACCCGCGAGGGGAGCAAUCCCGAAGCCCGAUCAUAAUCCCGGAUCUUGAUCUGCAACUCGACAUUGAAGUCAGAUAAAGUAAUCGCGGAUCAGCAUGUCGCCAGUGGGCUUACGUUCCCGGGUCUUAGCAUGCCGCCGUCACUGCAGGAGUGGGUUAUACACCCAGUAGUUAGCCUAACCGUAGGGAGGCGAUUACCACAGUAGGAUUCAUGACUGGGUGGAGGUAAUAACAGGUAA